RNAcentral lists this ribosomal RNA (447 nucleotides) under uncultured bacterium. RNAcentral describes it as "partial 16S ribosomal RNA". It matches the Rfam family "Bacterial small subunit ribosomal RNA", at positions 29 to 523 of the family's 1533-position model. The record is from RNAcentral.
AGCGAACGCUGGCGGCAGGCUUAACACAUGCAAGUCGAACGCCCCGCAAGGGGAGUGGCAGACGGGUGAGUAACACGUGGGAACGUACCCUUUGGUUCGGAAUAACUUGGGGAGACUCAAGCUAAUACCGGAUAAGCCCUUAUGGGGAAAGGUUUACUGCCGAAGGAUCGGCCCGCGUCUGAUUAGCUAGUUGGUGAGGUAAUGGCUCACCAAGGCGACGAUCAGUAGCUGGUCUGAGAGGAUGAUCAGCCACACUGGGACUGAGACACGGCCCAGACUCCUACGGGAGGCAGCAGUGGGGAAUAUUGGACAGUGGGGGCAACCCUGAUCCAGCCAUGCCGCGUGAGUGAUGAAGGCCUUAGGGUUGUAAAGCUCUUUUACCCGGGACGAUAAUGACUGUACCGGGAGAAUAAGCCCCGGCUAACUUCGUGCCAGCCGCCGCAGUAA